This 253-nucleotide ribosomal RNA is filed under the name uncultured bacterium. RNAcentral's name for it is "partial 16S ribosomal RNA". It matches the Rfam family "Bacterial small subunit ribosomal RNA", at positions 524 to 776 of the family's 1533-position model. The record is from RNAcentral.
GACGUAGGGCGCGAGCGUUGUCCGGAUUUAUUGGGCGUAAAGAGCUCGUAGGCGGCUUGUCGCGUCGUCCGUGAAAACUUGGGGCUCAACCCCAAGCUUGCGGUCGAUACGGGCAGGCUAGAGUUCGGUAGGGGAGACUGGAAUUCCUGGUGUAGCGGUGAAAUGCGCAGAUAUCAGGAGGAACACCGGUGGCGAAGGCGGCAUCCUGGACCAUUACUGACACUGAAAAGCGAAAGCCAGGGGAGCAAACGGG